Molecule: long non-coding RNA, 3557 nt
Filed under: Triticum aestivum (bread wheat)
Lineage: Eukaryota; Viridiplantae; Streptophyta; Magnoliopsida; Poales; Poaceae
Description: long non-coding RNA (TAES_LNC007202)
Source: RNAcentral
ACGUUUAUCCACAUAUGUUAGUAUUAUUUGAACCGUUAGAUUUGAAUAAUAAUGGUUGAGAUUAAAAGUUUUUGCAUAACAUGCUAAACAUGUAUUUAGUAACUUAUUAGACAAGACGUUGUCACGUCUAUGCAUAUGGCACACGUCAAGGAAAAUAAAGAAUAGUCCGGAAAAUAUACGCCAUAAGAUUUAGAGCCGUCCAGCCCGUUAUCACGUCACAGAAGAUACAGAACCUCGCGUGCAUCUAAUUCCGUUAUCACGUCACAGAAGAUACAGAACCUCGCGUGCAUCUAAUUCCAAACCGGGCAUGUGCAUGCCAAAAAAAAACAAGGAUAACUCCAGCCGUGGAGUCUUCAUGAAAGAAAAGAAAACAAGGAUAACUACAGUCGGACUAUCCACAUGGAGUCUUGAUGAAAGGACCACAUGAAGUCUUGAUAAAGAGAAACUCUACAUGGAUCGGCCAAGCCAACAAAUCAGAAAGGCACCCAGCCGACCACAUCCAACCGCAAGAAUUGAAUCCAACCAAUUCUGGACAAAUCAAUGUCUGUACAUCUGCUACCCGAUCAGAGAACCACCGAGAAAAUAGAAGUCUUCCAGAAUCUGCUACCCGGCAAGAGCAUCACCAACAGAAUCGAAGACUACAGAACAAAUCUGCUAUCCAACUCAAUUGAAGAAAAAAUUGAAGACAAAAAAUGCCAAAACUCCGAUGUGACUGCAUCUCAAUGCCCGAUGAAGUCAGGACAGGUCUUCUGAGUUGCCUCUCACCUGAAUCAGGUUCGCAAAUAUUAUGAAUUAAUUAAUUCAGUUUUCAGAAUAGAAGUUGCAUAGAUAGCUGAUUAAAAAUUUCAGAAUCAUUUCAUAUCCAAAAAACUAUGGUGUUGAAGAAGCUUAGCGCUUACCAACAACAGGACAAACUAGAACAUUCAAGUAAAAGUAUAGAGAAUGUGGGAUUACCUCAAUCAUACAACAGAUCAACAAUUUAAAACAAGCAAAUGCUAAUUAUAUUUUGUUUGCAUUCACAUGGCGAAACGGUUCAUGUUACUAUCAACAUUAAAAGCAUCAUGCUAUUAUCUGGAGGAAUUUGAUACACUUAUAAUAAUGAAAGAAAAUGAUAAUUCUAUGUAUGCAUAUAACACUUUUUUACAGGUAUGCAUAUAAUACUUUUAGGUUUGUGGAAUCCACAAAGUAUCGCCCAUUGAGAAAUGAAAUUAAUUUAUUUCUUCAUACAAUGUAUAGGUAAAGGUGAAAGGACCAUUAGAAUGUUGUCUAGAUUACAAUUCCGAGUUUGCCACCAAGGACACGAUACAAAACAGGGAGAUAAAGUUAAUCAAUGCUCACAUAUGUCUACUCUACACUUUUAAAUAAUCUAAUUAAUAUUUCUAGCCGUGAAGAAAUUAAUACGCAAAUUUGCAUGACAUUGGAUUAUUCACCCAAAUGAAGCAUGUGGAAUCAACAAUAACAAUCCCCACAAAAAAAGGAAUCAAGAAUAACAAAAAGGAUUUUACAAACUUCAUAUUACCACAAGACUGCUUCUAAUAACAGAGCAGUGCAUAAUGCAUGUCCAUUACUGAAAUUUUAAUUGGACUUCCACCAUUGCGGCUAAGAUUAAGACUUUUUCAACUUAGCCCCCUUUAGGGGUCAUGAAACCAGAACUAGACUAUUUGGAAUGUUUGCUUAUUUUUUAAAUUAGAAUUUAAUUAUUGCAAAAAUUCAUACAGUAAGUCCAAUGAUGUUACAAACAAAUCUAAUAGAUUUGUGAUUGAUUUAAUAGGGUUGUGCCUAAAGUCAACCAGCGCUAGAAGAAUAUAUACAGAUCUACACAGCUGAAAUAGAAACAGGCACGAAAAAGGUCUAAGUAAUUCAUGUACAAACCUAAGUAAUUCAAUCUACUAGGAAAUAAUCAUUCACGUAUAGACAUAUUUCAGUAUGGGCACGUACAAAGCUAGGUCCCCCCAUACAAAUUAGGAAAACGUGGGCAUGUCCUUUUGAGAGAGAAAAGAGAUACGCCUAAGUAAUUCAAUCUACUAGGAGUACAAAAUCAGAUCAUCUACACACUUUAGAAAACAUGGGUAGGUCCUUCGAAGAAAAACAAAAGGCACGCCUAAAUCGUUCAAUUUACUGGGAAUUAUAUUAAAAAGUCUAGCCUGCCAAACACAUCCCAUGUGUACAUGCAUGCACUUGCAUCUAAUUCUGACGGACAGACAUGUUGAACUUAACGGGCAGAAAAAUAGACAUUGGUAUGAGGCACACUUGGUAUGUGGAUUACCUCAAUCAUACAACAGAUCAACAAUUUAAAACAAGCAAAUGCUAAUUAUAUUUUGUUUGCAUUCACAUGGCGAAACGGUUCAUGUUACUAUCAACAUUAAAAGCAUCAUGCUAUUAUCUGGAGGAAUUUGAUACACUUAUAAUAAUGAAAGAAAAUGAUAAUUCUAUGUAUGCAUAUAACACUUUUUUACAGGUAUGCAUAUAAUACUUUUAGGUUUGUGGAAUCCACAAAGUAUCGCCCAUUGAGAAAUGAAAUUAAUUUAUUUCUUCAUACAAUGUAUAGGUAAAGGUGAAAGGACCAUUAGAAUGUUGUCUAGAUUACAAUUCCGAGUUUGCCACCAAGGACACGAUACAAAACAGGGAGAUAAAGUUAAUCAAUGCUCACAUAUGUCUACUCUACACUUUUAAAUAAUCUAAUUAAUAUUUCUAGCCGUGAAGAAAUUAAUACGCAAAUUUGCAUGACAUUGGAUUAUUCACCCAAAUGAAGCAUGUGGAAUCAACAAUAACAAUCCCCGCAAAAAAAGGAAUCAAGAAUAACAAAAAGGAUUUUACAAACUUCAUAUUACCACAAGACUGCUUCUAAUAACAGAGCAGUGCAUAAUGCAUGUCCAUUACUGAAAUUUUAAUUGGACUUCCACCAUUGCGGCUAAGAUUAAGACUUUUUCAACUCAGCCCCCUUUAGGGGUCAUGAAACCAGAACUAGACUAUUUGAAAUGUUUGCUUAUUUUUUAAAUUAGAAUUUAAUUAUUACAAAAAUUCAUACAGUAAGUCCAAUGAUGUUACAAACAAAUCUAAUAGAUUUGUGAUUGAUUUAAUAGGGUUGUGCCUAAAGUCAACCAGCGCUAGAAGAAUAUAUACAGAUCUACACAGCUGAAAUAGAAACAGGCACGAAAAAGGUCUAAGUAAUUCAUGUACAAACCUAAGUAAUUCAAUCUACUAGGAAAUAAUCAUUCACGUAUAGACAUAUUUCAGUAUGGGCACGUACAAAGCUAGGUCCCCCCAUACAAAUUAGGAAAACGUGGGCAUGUCCUUUUGAGAGAGAAAAGAGAUACGCCUAAGUAAUUCAAUCUACUAGGAGUACAAAAUCAGAUCAUCUACACACUUUAGAAAACAUGGGUAGGUCCUUCGAAGAAAAACAAAAGGCACGCCUAAAUCGUUCAAUUUACUGGGAAUUAUAUUAAAAAGUCUAGCCGCCAAACACAUCCCAUGUGUACAUGCAUGCACUUGCAUCUAAUUCUGACGGACAGACAUGUUGAACUUAACGGGCAGAAAAAUAGACAUUGGUAUGAGGC